Molecule: long non-coding RNA, 461 nt
Organism: Elgaria multicarinata webbii
Lineage: Eukaryota; Metazoa; Chordata; Lepidosauria; Squamata; Anguidae
Exons: 4
Source: RefSeq, a predicted model, not a curated record
GGACCUCUGGCGGGUGGGCAGGUGUGGUCCCGCUUUCCUUUUCCUCUCCCGGUUCAGACGCGUUUGGUGCAAGAACGAGCUACAGUGGGGAGAAACGCGUGGUAGUAGCGCCAUGGCGAGCCGAGAGGGUGGGAAGAAGAAACCCUUGAAGCAGCCCAAGAAGAUGUCGAAAGAAAUGGAUGAGGAAGACAAAGCUUUCAAGCAAAAGCAGAAGGAGGAGCAGAAGAAAUUGGACGAGUUGAAGGCAAAAGCUGCUGGAAAGGGCCCGCUUACUGGAGGUGGGAUUAAGAAGUCUGGUAAGAAGUAGCAGCUUUCAUAAGACUACGUGCCAAGUGAAGAAUUUUACUCCCCCUGGGAUGCUUAGCAGUGAGAUGGAUUUCCAGGCUGAAGUUGCGGGAAACAUUAAUUUGAGCACCUUUGUACAUUUUGUUCAAAUAAAAUAAAUGGGGUUUUUUGGUUAA